Vicia villosa (hairy vetch) is the source of this 867-nucleotide long non-coding RNA. RefSeq lists it as uncharacterized. Lineage: Eukaryota; Viridiplantae; Streptophyta; Magnoliopsida; Fabales; Fabaceae. The transcript is spliced from 3 exons. The record is from RefSeq and is a predicted model, not a curated record.
AGGAAUAUUUGGGGAAGAGCAAAGAAUUGAUGUUGAAAGUGAAACUCUAGAUGCAUCGUUUCUCAAUAAAAUUCAUGACGCUUUCAGUUCAUCUUCAAUUUUAUCGUCAAUUUAUCUUCUCUUCUCAUCUUCAAUUUUGUCUUCUCCACUCAAAACAUCUUCUUUUCCACUAAACAAAACAUCAACUUCUCCGAUGCAAUCAAUACCUGAACCAACAGUUUCUCUUUUCCCUGACCCGGAGAAGCACAUCAUCAAUGUCAUCUAUUGGAUUUCUGUGUGCACCGUUUCGGUUAUGCUACAGGUUCUUUUUAAUCCUUUUUCUCUGGUGCAGAAUUUCCUGUUGGUUUGGUUGAAUUGUUCGGAAAGUUUAUGAAGCUGUUGCGGUUCAGUUCAGAUUUUGUGUGUAAGAGAUGGAGUUUUCUGCUACAGAUUUCUAUUAUAUGGUGCUGCAAGUAUUUUAUUGCAGGUGCAACUAGAUUGGUCAUGAACAUGUAGCUUUGUUUUGGUUUCGAAGUGAAUUUUUAUUGCUGGUCCGAUUUAAGGUGAAGGGAUGAGUAGUAGUGAAUGAGAUUCAGUUUGUAUUAUUGUCUUGAUAAUAGCUUUGAUUCUAGAUUAUAGCUUUUUAUUUAUGGUCUGAUUCUAGCUUUGUUUUUACUGUCUUGAUAAUGUCUUGAUAAUAGCUUGUGAAGCCAACAAGAUGUGAAUGAGAUAAAGUUUUCCUUUCUCCUUUGAAUUCAAAGUUUCUUCAAUGAUGUAAUGUUAAUAUAAGGGUGUAAUGGGAUAUGACCCUUUAUGUUGUCAAGUCUUUUGAAAUAUUAUCAUAAUAUAUUGUAUGUGGUUUAUUUAGGUUUUUAAGUGUACUUCCUA